ACUCUCGGCAACGGAUAUCUCGGCUCUCGCAUCGAUGAAGAACGUAGCGAAAUGCGAUACUUGGUGUGAAUUGCAGAAUCCCGUGAACCAUCGAGUCUUUGAACGCAAGUUGCGCCCGAAGCCAUUAGGCCGAGGGCACGUCUGCCUGGGCGUCACGCAUCGCGUCGCCCCACUCUCCCGCUUCCCGAAUGUGGAUGGGC
RNAcentral lists this ribosomal RNA (200 nucleotides) under Phyla nodiflora. RNAcentral describes it as "5.8S ribosomal RNA". The stretch from base 1 to 155 matches the Rfam family "5.8S ribosomal RNA". From Rfam's summary of the family: 5.8S ribosomal RNA (5.8S rRNA) is a component of the large subunit of the eukaryotic ribosome. It is transcribed by RNA polymerase I as part of the 45S precursor that also contains 18S and 28S rRNA. The record is from RNAcentral. Lineage: Eukaryota; Viridiplantae; Streptophyta; Magnoliopsida; Lamiales; Verbenaceae.